This 498-nucleotide ribosomal RNA is filed under the name Mantella manery. Its description in RNAcentral is "partial large subunit ribosomal RNA". It matches the Rfam family "Bacterial large subunit ribosomal RNA", at positions 1942 to 2606 of the family's 2925-position model. Lineage: Eukaryota; Metazoa; Chordata; Amphibia; Anura; Mantellidae. The record is from RNAcentral.
CUAACCGUGCAAAGGUAGCAUAAUCACUUGUUCUUUAAAUGAGGACCUGUAUCAACGGCAUCACGAGGGUUACACUGUCUCCUUUUUCUAAUCAGUGAAACUGAUCUCCCCGUGAAGAAGCGGGGAUUUUGAUAUAAGACGAGAAGACCCCAUGGAGCUUUAAACCCAACUGCACUCCCACCUCUCUACUACCACUUAAACUACGGACCCUGCACGCUUGGUUUUAGGUUGGGGUGACCGCGGAGCAUAAUCUAACCUCCACGAUGAACGGGACUACCCCCUUAUCCAAGAGCUACACCUCUAAGAACUAGUAUUCUAACAUAAAAUGAUCCGAUAAUCGAUCAACGAACCAAGUUACCCUGGGGAUAACAGCGCAAUCUACUUUAAGAGUCCCUAUCGCCAAGUAGGUUUACGACCUCGAUGUUGGAUCAGGGUAUCCUAGUGGUGCAGCAGCUACUAAUGGUUCGUUUGUUCAACGAUUAAAACCCUACGUGAUCU